RNAcentral lists this ribosomal RNA (440 nucleotides) under uncultured Pseudomonas sp. Its description in RNAcentral is "bacterial SSU rRNA". It matches the Rfam family "Bacterial small subunit ribosomal RNA", at positions 358 to 789 of the family's 1533-position model. Lineage: Bacteria; Pseudomonadati; Pseudomonadota; Gammaproteobacteria; Pseudomonadales; Pseudomonadaceae. The record is from RNAcentral.
GGAAUAUUGGACAAUGGGCGAAAGCCUGAUCCAGCCAUGCCGCGUGUGUGAAGAAGGUCUUCGGAUUGUAAAGCACUUUAAGUUGGGAGGAAGGGCAUUAACCUAAUACGUUAGUGUUUUGACGUUACCGACAGAAUAAGCACCGGCUAACUCUGUGCCAGCAGCCGCGGUAAUACAGAGGGUGCAAGCGUUAAUCGGAAUUACUGGGCGUAAAGCGCGCGUAGGUGGUUCGUUAAGUUGGAUGUGAAAUCCCCGGGCUCAACCUGGGAACUGCAUUCAAAACUGUCGAGCUAGAGUAUGGUAGAGGGUGGUGGAAUUUCCUGUGUAGCGGUGAAAUGCGUAGAUAUAGGAAGGAACACCAGUGGCGAAGGCGACCACCUGGACUGAUACUGACACUGAGGUGCGAAAGCGUGGGGAGCAAACAGGAUUAGAUACCCCUG